Molecule: ribosomal RNA, 400 nt
Filed under: uncultured bacterium
Lineage: Bacteria
Description: bacterial SSU rRNA
Rfam family: Bacterial small subunit ribosomal RNA
Source: RNAcentral
UGGGGAAUAUUGCGCAAUGGGGGCAACCCUGACGCAGCAACGCCGCGUGAGUGAAGAAGGCCUUUGGGUUGUAAAGCUCUUUCGGCCGAGAAGAAGGGUAAUGUGGUGAAUAGUCAUAUUAUUUGAUGGUAUCGGAAGAAGAAGCACCGGCAAACUUCGUGCCAGCAGCCGCGGUAAUACGAAGGGUGCGAGCGUUGUUCGGAAUUACUGGGCGUAAAGGGUUUGUAGGCAGAGAUGUAAGUCAAGUGUGAAAUCCCCGAGCUAAACUUGGGACGUGCACUUGAGACUGUGUUUCUUGAGUAUCGUAGAGGGUGGUGGAAUUGUAGGUGUAGGAGUGACAUCCGUAGAGAUCUGCAGGAACAUCAGAGGCGAAGGCGACCACCUGGGCGAUUACUGACGC